GAUCCUACGGGAGGCAGCAGUGGGGAAUAUUGGACAAUGGGGGGAACCCUGAUCCAGCGACGCCGCGUGAGUGAAGAAGUAUUUCGGUAUGUAAAGCUCUAUCAGCAGGGAAGAAAGAAAUGACGGUACCUGACUAAGAAGCACCGGCUAACUACGUGUCAGCAGCCGCGGUAAUACGUAGGGGGCAAGCGUUAUCCGGAUUUACUGGGUGUAAAGGGAGCGUAGACGGCGAUGCAGGGCUGAAGUGAAAGGCGGGGGCCCAACAC
RNAcentral lists this ribosomal RNA (266 nucleotides) under uncultured bacterium. RNAcentral's name for it is "partial 16S ribosomal RNA". It matches the Rfam family "Bacterial small subunit ribosomal RNA", at positions 335 to 615 of the family's 1533-position model. The record is from RNAcentral.